This 484-nucleotide ribosomal RNA is filed under the name uncultured bacterium. RNAcentral's name for it is "partial 16S ribosomal RNA". It matches the Rfam family "Bacterial small subunit ribosomal RNA", at positions 28 to 507 of the family's 1533-position model. The record is from RNAcentral.
AUUGAACGCUGGCGGCAUGCUUUACACAUGCAAGUCGAACGGCAGCGCGGGCUUCGGCCUGGCGGCGAGUGGCGAACGGGUGAGUAAUGCAUCGGAACGUGCCCAGUAGUGGGGGAUAGCCCGGCGAAAGCCGGAUUAAUACCGCAUACGACCUGAGGGUGAAAGCGGGGGACCGAAAGGCCUCGCGCUAUUGGAGCGGCCGAUGUCGGAUUAGCUAGUUGGUGGGGUAAAGGCUUACCAAGGCGACGAUCCGUAGCUGGUCUGAGAGGACGACCAGCCGCACUGGGACUGGGACACGGCCCAGACUCCUACGGGAGGCAGCAGUGGGGAAUUUUGGACAAUGGGGCCAACCCUGAUCCAGCCAUGCCGCGUGCGGGAAGAAGGCCUUCGGGUUGUAAACCGCUUUUGUUCGGGAAGAAAUCCUCUGGGCUAAUACCCCGGGGGGAUGACGGUACCGGAAGAAUAAGCACCGGCUAACUACGUG